Molecule: ribosomal RNA, 1488 nt
Filed under: uncultured Bordetella sp.
Lineage: Bacteria; Pseudomonadati; Pseudomonadota; Betaproteobacteria; Burkholderiales; Alcaligenaceae
Description: partial 16S-23S ribosomal RNA intergenic spacer
Rfam family: Bacterial small subunit ribosomal RNA
Source: RNAcentral
UCAGGUAGUAACAGAGUUUGAUCCUGGCUCAGAUUGAACGCUGGCGGAUGUUUACACAUGCAAGUCGAACGGCAGCACUUUGGACUUCGGUCUGGUGGCGAUAGCGAACGGGUGAGUAAUGUAUCGGAACGUGCCUAGUAGCGGGGAUAACUACGCGAAAGCGUAGCUACCACGCGCAUACGCCCUUCGGGGGAAAGCGGGGACCUUUCUUCGGGCCUCUCGCAAUCAUUAGAGCGGCCGAUAUCGGAUUAAAGAAAGCUGGUGUGCAACGGCUCACCAUGACGAUCCGUAGCUGGUUUGAGAGGAGACGACCAGCCACACUGGGACUGAGACACGGCCCAGAUUCUACGGGAGGCAGCAGUGGGGAAUUUUGACAAUGGGGAAACCCUGAUCCAGCCAUCUCGCGUGUGCGAUGAAGGCCUUCGGCUAGGUGCUAAUUUUUGGCAGGAAGAAAACGGCACGGGAUAAUACUCCGCAACUGACGGUACCUGCAGAAUAAGCACCGCCAACUACGUGCCAGCAGCCGCGGUAAAUAUGUAGGUGCAAGCGUUAAUCGGAAUUACUGGGCGCAGCGCGCAGGCGGUUCGAAAAAGAAAGAUGUGAAAUCCCAGAGCUUAACUUUUGAAACCGCAUUUUUAACUACCGAGCUAGAGUGUGUCAGAGGGAGGUGAAUUCCGCGUAGCAGUGAAAAUGCGUAGAUAUGAGGAACAAUUGAUGGCGAAGGCAGCCUCUGGGAUAACACUGACGCUCAUGCACGAAAGCGUGGGGAGCAAACAGAUUAGAUACCUCUGGUAGUCCACGCUCCUAAACGAUGUCAACUAGCUGUUGGGGCCUUCAUCUUGCAGCGCAGCUAAUGCGUGAAGUUGACCGCCUGGGAGCAUGGUCGCAGAUUAAACCCGAAGUGAAUUGACGGGGACUCUGCACAAGCGUGGAUGAUGUGGAUUAAUUCGAUGCAACGCGAAAAACUCAUCAAAUUUGACAUGUCUGGAAUCCCGAAGAGAUUUGGGAGUGCUCGCAAGUAGGAACCGGAACAGGUGCUGCAUGGCUGUCGUCAGCUCGUGUCGGGAGAUGUUGGGUUAAGUCCCGCAACGAGCGCAACCCUUGUCAUUAGUUGCUACUUAGGCACCUAACGAGACUGCCGGUGACAAACCGGGAGGAAGGUGGGGAUGACGUCAAGUCCUCAUGGCCCCUUACAGGGUAGGGCUUCACACGUCAUACAAUGGUCGGGACAGAGGGUCGCCAACCCGCGAGGGGGAGCCAAUCCCAGAAACCGAUCAGGUCCGGAUCGCAGUCUGCAACUCGACUGCGUGAAGUCGGAAUCGCUAGUAAUCGCGGAUCAGCAUGUCGCGGUGAAUACGUUCCCGGGUCUUGUACACACUGCCCGUCACACCAUGGGAGUGGGUUUUACCAGAAGUAGUUAGCCUAACCGUAAGGAGGGCGAUUACCACGGUAGGAUUCAUGACUGGGGUGAAGUCGUGAACAAGGUAA